GACGAACGCUGGCGGCGUGCUUAACACAUGCAAGUCGAACGGAAAGGCCCUGCUUUUGUGGGGUGCUCGAGUGGCGAAAGGGUGAGUAACACGUGAGUGACCUGCCCUUGACUUUGGGAUAACUUCAGGAAACUGGGGCUAAUACCGGAUAUGAGCACCUGCUGCAUGGUGUUGGUUGGAAAGUUUCGGUGGUUGGGGAUGGACUCGCGGCUUAUCAGCGUGUUGGUGGGGUAGUGGCUUACCAAGGCUUUGACGGGUAGCCGGCCUGAGAGGGUGACAGGCCACAUUGGGACUGAGAUGCGGCCCAUACUCCUACGGGAGGCAUCAGUGGGAAAUAGUGCACAAUGGGCGGAAGCCGGAUGCAGCAACGCCGCGUGCGGGAUGACGGCCUUUGGGUUGUAAACCGCUUUCGCCUGGGACGAAGCGUGAGUGACGGUAAUGGGUAAAGAAGCACCGGCUAACUACGUG
This 468-nucleotide ribosomal RNA is filed under the name uncultured bacterium. Its description in RNAcentral is "partial 16S ribosomal RNA". It matches the Rfam family "Bacterial small subunit ribosomal RNA", at positions 28 to 507 of the family's 1533-position model. The record is from RNAcentral.